AUACGGGAGGCAGCAGUGGGGAAUAUUGGACAAUGGGCGCAAGCCUGAUCCAGCAAUGCCGCGUGAGUGAUGAAGGCCUUCGGGUUGUAAAGCUCUGUCGGGAGGGACGAAAAAGCAGCCUAACAAACUGCGUUGACGGUACCUUCAAAGGAAGCACCGGCUAACUCUGUGCCAGCAGCCGCGGUAAUACAGAGGGUGCAAGCGUUGUUCGGAAUUACUGGGCGUAAAGCGCGUGUAGGCGGCGGCGUAAGUCGGAUGUGAAAUCCCUCGGCUCAACCGAGGAAGUGCAUCCGAUACUGCGUUGCUUGAGUGUCGGAGGGGGUGGCGGAAUUCCCGGUGUAGAGGUGAAAUUCGUAGAUAUCGGGAGGAACACCUGUGGCGAAGGCGGCCACCUGGACGACGACUGACGCUGAGACGCGAAAGCGUGGGUAGCAAACAGGAUUAGAUACCCCGGUAGG
RNAcentral lists this ribosomal RNA (458 nucleotides) under uncultured bacterium. Its description in RNAcentral is "bacterial SSU rRNA". It matches the Rfam family "Bacterial small subunit ribosomal RNA", at positions 339 to 794 of the family's 1533-position model. The record is from RNAcentral.